Long non-coding RNA from Megalopta genalis, 514 nucleotides. RefSeq lists it as uncharacterized. NCBI's taxonomy places the organism in Eukaryota, Metazoa, Arthropoda, Insecta, Hymenoptera, Halictidae. The record is from RefSeq and is a predicted model, not a curated record.
GGCUCCCGGCGUUGUUUCGUAAGGCGCCAUGCGGCGGGCCACGUUUUUCGUUAGCGUGAUCGCGCUCGUCAUUUUCUGCUCGUUGAUCGUCGAUCAUGGACUCGCGGAUCCAGAUCCGGAUCCGGAUCCUCGCCGUUUGAUCUACAUCAUCACGCAUCGGCCGAGGAAGAGACACGAGGAUAUUGUCGUCAUCACGCCGCACAGAAGAAAGCACAGGAAGACGCGCAUCAUUUACGUUUCACAUUGAACAGGCACUUGUGAAAAUUGUUCGCUCGCUGAAAAGCGAGGAGGCGACGGUGCACGCGGAGAGGGAAAACGAUACAUCGGAGGCGUUGAAAAGCACGGCCGCGUGCAGUGUGCAUACUGCGUGCACAGAGGCAACGUCUUACCUUGACCGAGCACUUCCGGUAUCCCGCUUGCAUCGCAGUGCACUGUGCAUCAUGCACUCUGCCGAUUACUUCGAUCUUACUAUGUAUCUGCAUGGAAAAUACAAGGAAGUUUCUAUGACAACGAA